GGCGCUAUAGUGUAGUGGCAGCACAUGGGAUUCUGAUGAGGAAUUGAUAAGCAAUAUUCCCAUAACCCAGGUUCGACCCCUGGUAGUGCCU
Molecule: transfer RNA, 91 nt
Filed under: Armillaria gallica
Lineage: Eukaryota; Fungi; Basidiomycota; Agaricomycetes; Agaricales; Physalacriaceae
Rfam family: tRNA
About the family: Transfer RNA (tRNA) molecules are approximately 80 nucleotides in length. Their secondary structure includes four short double-helical elements and three loops (D, anti-codon, and T loops). Further hydrogen bonds mediate the characteristic L-shaped molecular structure. tRNAs have two regions of fundamental functional importance: the anti-codon, which is responsible for specific mRNA codon recognition, and the 3' end, to which the tRNAs corresponding amino acid is attached (by aminoacyl-tRNA synthetases). tRNAs cope with the degeneracy of the genetic code in two manners: having more than one tRNA (with a specific anti-codon) for a particular amino acid; and 'wobble' base-pairing, i.e. permitting non-standard base-pairing at the 3rd anti-codon position.
Source: Rfam by way of RNAcentral